Molecule: transfer RNA, 85 nt
Filed under: Janthinobacterium sp. MP5059B
Lineage: Bacteria; Pseudomonadati; Pseudomonadota; Betaproteobacteria; Burkholderiales; Oxalobacteraceae
Description: tRNA-Pro
Source: RNAcentral
GCUGGCGCGCCACGGCGAGGAUGCGGUCCAUGUGCUCGGGCUGCAUGUCGACCUUGUGCGCGGGAUCGUCGGCCGCCGCCAGCAC